RNAcentral lists this ribosomal RNA (405 nucleotides) under uncultured Methanosphaera sp. Its description in RNAcentral is "bacterial SSU rRNA". It matches the Rfam family "Archaeal small subunit ribosomal RNA", at positions 51 to 460 of the family's 1478-position model. Lineage: Archaea; Methanobacteriati; Methanobacteriota; Methanobacteria; Methanobacteriales; Methanobacteriaceae. The record is from RNAcentral.
AUGCGAGUCUUUGUAGUAAUACAAGGCAUACGGCUCAGUAACGCGUAGUCAACCUACCCUAUGGACAAGAAUAAUCUCGGGAAACUGAGCAUAAUUCUUGAUAGAUCAUAAUGCCUGGAAUGGUUUAUGGUUAAAAUGAUUCGUCGCCAUAGGAUGGGACUGCGGCCUAUCAGCUUGUUGGUGAGGUAAUGGCCCACCAAGGCGAUUACAGGUACGGGCUCUGAGAGGAGAAGCCCGGAGAUGGGUACUGAGACAAGGACCCAGGCCCUAUGUGGGCGCAGCAGGCGAGAAAACUUUGCAAUGUGCGAAAGCACGACAAGGUUAGUCCGAGUGAUUUCUGCUAAAGAGAUCUUUUUGCUAGUUAUAAACCACUAGUGAAUAAGGGGUGGGCAAGUUCUGGUGUCA